Molecule: non-coding RNA, 121 nt
Filed under: Algibacter luteus
Lineage: Bacteria; Pseudomonadati; Bacteroidota; Flavobacteriia; Flavobacteriales; Flavobacteriaceae
Description: Arenitalea lutea SAM-I sequence
Rfam family: SAM riboswitch aptamer (S box leader)
About the family: The SAM riboswitch is found upstream of a number of genes which code for proteins involved in methionine or cysteine biosynthesis in Gram-positive bacteria. The SAM riboswitch acts at the level of transcription termination control. The predicted structure consists of a complex stem-loop region followed by a single stem loop terminator region.
Source: Rfam by way of RNAcentral
AUGUUAUCAAGAAAGGUGGAGGGAAUAGACCCUUUGAAGCCUUAGCAACCUCCCGAGUUUUCGGGGAAGGUGCUAAAUUCUACUUAAGUAUUUAAUAUUAAGUGCUUUAGAUAGAUAACCC